UCUUCAGAGGUUUGUUGGGGAUUUGUUGGGCCAGUUGUUUCCACACUGUGGGAAUUCUAUGAAAUUAUAUGAUUGACUGUACACCAGCGAGUUAACACUGGGAACAGACCAUUCACCAACUCCAAGUAUGGGAAGGGUCAACCUACCCGCUGACACACUAGCGUGUACAUGAUCAACUAUAGUGACCUGCAUGCUAUAUUUCAGAAUAUUGAAUAUCAAAAAAAAAAGUUUGAUGUUAAUCACCUUUAUAAAACCUUUGGCGUAAGUUCACUUCUUUGGAAGGGUUCUCCUCCUCGGACCCUCCAUCCUACCUCCAAGCACAAGGGUGAGGAGCUCAUGGAGAUUCUUUGUGACUAACAUUGAGACAAUCCCUUCAGGUGUGUGUAACGGACAGUUUUACAACAUCUCCGGGAGGGGUUAGUACAGUCAGGAUGGGCUGAAUGGCCGCGAGCGCCCUCUCGUCCCCAAUAAUCCGGGCAUCCUGCACAAUUCACUGUGACUGUUGGAGCGGAGGGAAGCCCCCACCAAUCACUCACAACGGGGCCCCGUAGAUUGACGGCGGCUUCGGACCAAUAAGAAGCGGGUGGGCGGGACUGAAAGACCAAGCCGCGCGGUUAGUCCUCCAACCAAUCGGAGUGAAUGGGGGGGGCUCGCGGGAUGACACGUGAGCGACAGGACGAGAUGGCGGUUGGGGAGGGGGGGGUCGUUGUUCCGGAGAGCGGCGGUGAAAUGGAGACGGUGUGGACUGGGAGGUUGAUGGGACAGAAAUAGAAAUUCUCGGUCCCUUUGUCAGCAAACUGGAAAAAGUCUGCGGGCUUCGUACGGCGACAAACCAAGGUAACCGCCACCGUUUUGUACUGGGUCGGGGGGAGAGAGACGAUGUUCAGGGGGACGCAUACGGAGCCGCCAUUUUUAUGGGGUCAAUAUGAAGAAGUACGCCUGCGCGCCCUUUAACGGCGGCCGGGAGGGGACAAUAAGAGACUGCUUCGACAUUCCAUGAUUCGACACCAGGAAACUGCGGAUGCUGGAAUCUAAGGUGGACAAGCGGGAUGCUGGGCGAGCACAGCAAGCCAGGCAGCAUCAGGAGGUGGAGAAGUCAACGGCUCGCGUGUAAUUCUCCUUCAGGACUUCCUGUUCAAAUUCAGAGUGAGCACAGAGAUUCAGCAGGUCAUCCCAGUUGCUGUCACAUCGGCGAAUCCACACUGGGGAGAGACCCGUCACCUGCUCGGAGUGUGGGAAGGCAUUCAUCAGAUUAUCCCACCUGUUUCCUGAUGAAAGGCUUUUGCCCGAAACGUUGAUUUUCCUGCUCCUCGGAUGCUGCCUGACCUGCUGUGCUUUUCCAGCACCACUCUGAUCUUCAGCUUCUGCAGUCCUCACUUUUGCCUAGAUCAUCCCACCUGUUAUCCCACCAGCGAAUCCAAACUGGGGAGUGACCCUUCACCUGCUCCAAAUGUGGAAAGGGAGUCACACAGUCAUCCAAUAUGCUAACGCACCAAAGAGUUCACAAGUAACAGCAGCGAUUGAAUUUUGCAGUGAAUCAUAUUUGGAAGCGAACCUAUUCCAUUGACUCGAUAGGCCACCUCAGUAUCACAAACUUUCCCCA
This is a long non-coding RNA of Chiloscyllium plagiosum (whitespotted bambooshark), 1603 nucleotides long. RefSeq lists it as uncharacterized. The record is from RefSeq and is a predicted model, not a curated record. NCBI's taxonomy places the organism in Eukaryota, Metazoa, Chordata, Chondrichthyes, Orectolobiformes, Hemiscylliidae.